RNAcentral lists this ribosomal RNA (497 nucleotides) under uncultured bacterium. RNAcentral describes it as "partial 16S ribosomal RNA". It matches the Rfam family "Bacterial small subunit ribosomal RNA", at positions 28 to 507 of the family's 1533-position model. The record is from RNAcentral.
GAUGAACGCUGGCGGCGUGCCUAAUACAUGCAAGUCGAGCGAACAGACGAGGAGCUUGCUCCUCUGACGUUAGCGGCGGACGGGUGAGUAACACGUGGAUAACCUACCUAUUAGACUGGGAUAACUUCGGGAAACCGGAGCUAAUACCGGAUAAUAUAUUGAACCGCAUGGUUCAAUAGUGAAAGACGGUUUUGCUGUCACUUAUAGAUGGAUCCGCGCCGCAUUAGCUAGUUGGUAAGGUAACGGCUUACCAAGGCAACGAUGCGUAGCCGACCUGAGAGGGUGAUCGGCCACACUGGAACUGAGACACGGUCCAGACUCCUACGGGAGGCAGCAGUAGGGAAUCUUCGGCAAUGGGCGAAAGCCUGACGGAGCAACGCCGCGUGAGUGAUGAAGGUCUUCGGAUCGUAAAACUCUGUUAUUAGGGAAGAACAAAUGUGUAAGUAACUAUGCACGUCUUGACGGUACCUAAUCAGAAAGCAACGGCUAACUACGUG